CUUAAUAAAAGUAGGGGAAGAUGGGUAUAGUUGUAACAUUUUUAUAAUUUUUUAUCCUGUUCCUUCUCGGUGAUUAUAUAUAAAGCAAAAUAUAUUAUUGUUUAGUAGGCCCACUCGUCAGUUACAUCGAGGCACAGAAUCACCCUUUCACCUAUAGCAGUUUAUGAGUUACAAAGCAAAAACUAAAGCUUGCUGAUUGUUACAACCUACCCCAUACACGGGUACAGCUGUAACGUCAAGUAGGGAAAGUUGUAAGAAACCUAUACAAAGACAGAAGACUCAGAAAAAGUGGUCUCACAAAGAUUUUUAUUUAAAAAAUUGCAAAAGAAACAUUAAUGACAAAAACACAGAUAUUAAGGACUCAGUGGUUUGGAUUAAAGCUUAUCAAUAAUGUAGUCCUACACACUGUCACUCAUCUCACUCUCGCAGUUCUAGCAAAUAAAUGUAGCAUUCACAAGGUCUUGGGACACAGGCGAUAUGUGCCCACUGCCUGCAUUCUUGGCACUGCACCUAUUUUUCCUUGGGUUUGCUGUUGCUGUAGGUGUCUUAACCCA
Molecule: long non-coding RNA, 554 nt
Filed under: Androctonus crassicauda
Lineage: Eukaryota; Metazoa; Arthropoda; Arachnida; Scorpiones; Buthidae
Source: RNAcentral